This 1266-nucleotide ribosomal RNA is filed under the name Bacillus sp. DB-C. Its description in RNAcentral is "bacterial SSU rRNA". It matches the Rfam family "Bacterial small subunit ribosomal RNA", at positions 86 to 1338 of the family's 1533-position model. The record is from RNAcentral. Lineage: Bacteria; Bacillati; Bacillota; Bacilli; Caryophanales; Bacillaceae.
CUGAUGUUAGCGGCGGACGGGUGAGUAACACGUGGGUAACCUGCCUGUAAGACUGGGAUAACUCCGGGAAACCGGGGCUAAUACCGGAUGGUUGUUUGAACCGCAUGGUUCAGACAUAAAAGGUGGCUUCGGCUACCACUUACAGAUGGACCCGCGGCGCAUUAGCUAGUUGGUGAGGUAACGGCUCACCAAGGCGACGAUGCGUAGCCGACCUGAGAGGGUGAUCGGCCACACUGGGACUGAGACACGGCCCAGACUCCUACGGGAGGCAGCAGUAGGGAAUCUUCCGCAAUGGACGAAAGUCUGACGGAGCAACGCCGCGUGAGUGAUGAAGGUUUUCGGAUCGUAAAGCUCUGUUGUUAGGGAAGAACAAGUGCCGUUCAAAUAGGGCGGCACCUUGACGGUACCUAACCAGAAAGCCACGGCUAACUACGUGCCAGCAGCCGCGGUAAUACGUAGGUGGCAAGCGUUGUCCGGAAUUAUUGGGCGUAAAGGGCUCGCAGGCGGUUUCUUAAGUCUGAUGUGAAAGCCCCCGGCUCAACCGGGGAGGGUCAUUGGAAACUGGGGAACUUGAGUGCAGAAGAGGAGAGUGGAAUUCCACGUGUAGCGGUGAAAUGCGUAGAGAUGUGGAGGAACACCAGUGGCGAAGGCGACUCUCUGGUCUGUAACUGACGCUGAGGAGCGAAAGCGUGGGGAGCGAACAGGAUUAGAUACCCUGGUAGUCCACGCCGUAAACGAUGAGUGCUAAGUGUUAGGGGGUUUCCGCCCCUUAGUGCUGCAGCUAACGCAUUAAGCACUCCGCCUGGGGAGUACGGUCGCAAGACUGAAACUCAAAGGAAUUGACGGGGGCCCGCACAAGCGGUGGAGCAUGUGGUUUAAUUCGAAGCAACGCGAAGAACCUUACCAGGUCUUGACAUCCUCUGACAAUCCUAGAGAUAGGACGUCCCCUUCGGGGGCAGAGUGACAGGUGGUGCAUGGUUGUCGUCAGCUCGUGUCGUGAGAUGUUGGGUUAAGUCCCGCAACGAGCGCAACCCUUGAUCUUAGUUGCCAGCAUUCAGUUGGGCACUCUAAGGUGACUGCCGGUGACAAACCGGAGGAAGGUGGGGAUGACGUCAAAUCAUCAUGCCCCUUAUGACCUGGGCUACACACGUGCUACAAUGGACAGAACAAAGGGCAGCGAAACCGCGAGGUUAAGCCAAUCCCACAAAUCUGUUCUCAGUUCGGAUCGCAGUCUGCAACUCGACUGCGUGAAGCUGGAAUCGCUAG